GUGGGGAAUAUUGGGCAAUGGGCGGAAGCCUGACCCAGCGACGCCGCGUGGGGGAAGAAGUCUUUCGGGAUGUAAACCCUUGUUGUACGGGACGAAGGAAGUGACGGUACCGUACGAGGAAGCCCCGGCAAACUACGUGCCAGCAGCCGCGGUAAUACGUAGGGGGCGAGCGUUGUCCGGAAUCACUGGGCGUAAAGCGCACGUAGGCGGGCUGUCAAGUCGGCCGUGAAAGGCACGGGCUCAACCUGUGCAUGUCGGUCGAUACUGGCGGUCUGGAGUAUGGGAGAGGGAACUGGAAUUACCGGUGUAGCGGUGAAAUGCGUAGAUAUCGGGAGGAACACCAGUGGCGAAGGCGGGUUCCUGGCCCAUGACUGACGCUGAGGUGCGAGAGCCGGGGGAGCGAACGGGAUUAGAAACCCGGGUAGUCC
This 428-nucleotide ribosomal RNA is filed under the name uncultured bacterium. RNAcentral's name for it is "partial 16S ribosomal RNA". It matches the Rfam family "Bacterial small subunit ribosomal RNA", at positions 354 to 796 of the family's 1533-position model. The record is from RNAcentral.